This 453-nucleotide ribosomal RNA is filed under the name uncultured Prevotellaceae bacterium. Its description in RNAcentral is "bacterial SSU rRNA". It matches the Rfam family "Bacterial small subunit ribosomal RNA", at positions 341 to 792 of the family's 1533-position model. Lineage: Bacteria; Pseudomonadati; Bacteroidota; Bacteroidia; Bacteroidales; Prevotellaceae. The record is from RNAcentral.
ACGGAAGGCAGCAGUGAGGAAUAUUGGUCAAUGGACGAGAGUCUGAACCAGCCAAGUAGCGUGCAGGAUGACGGCCCUCCGGGUUGUAAACUGCUUUUAGUUGGGAAUAAAAAAGGCCACGCGUGGCCUCUUGCAUGUACCGUAUGAAUAAGCAUCGGCUAAUUCCGUGCCAGCAGCCGCGGUAAUACGGAAGAUGCGAGCGUUAUCCGGAUUUAUUGGGUUUAAAGGGAGCGUAGGCGGGUCUUUAAGUCAGUGGUCAAAGCGUGUGGCUCAACCAUACCACGCCAUUGAUACUGGAGACCUUGAGUGCACAUAAGGAUGGUGGAAUUCGUCGUGUAGCGGUGAAAUGCUUAGAUAUGACGAAGAACUCCGAUUGCGAAGGCAGCUGUCCGGGGUGUAACUGACGCUAAUGCUCGAAAGUGCGGGUAUCAAACAGGAUUAGAUACCCUGGUA